AGCAGAGGGCAGCAGAGGGUCACAACAACAAACACAUCACACAACGAGGAGUCUGUUACACUGCAGCGUCUUUACCAAGGAGACCACCUGGGGCGCUGCGGACUGAACACCAGAGGAGGACCACAGGCUUCCGACAGAGAGACACAGACGGACAGGUGAGAUACACACCUGAGGCUGCAGUCUGUGCUGGUGUUUAUCGUUUUGCCAAGACUCAGACUCUAAACUACAUUUCCCAUUUUACAGCCUGAAGCUGGAUUAGACCUCUCUACACCCCCAACACCUGUCAACCUGAUCACAGUCAGCCCUACUAGCAGUGCUUACAAUAGUUAAAACAGCCAUUAAGAAUAAAAACAGGGGGACAUGAAACCGAAAAAGAAAGAGAGGGUCAAAAUGUUACAGUUUUGAAAUAGAAGCACAAGAGCCACACAAAUAUAAAAAUGUGUAUUUUUGACAUUAAAAAUUGACAUUAAAAUAGAUUUUAAAGUAGUCUCAUAACAAAUACCUCAUAAAUGUGAGUCUUUAACCUGGAUUUAAAAGAUCUGAGAGUCUCUGCAUACCAGACAUUUUCUGAUAGUUUGUUCAGAGAUCUGGAGCAUAAAAACUGAAUGUUGCUUCUCCAUGUUUGGUUGGACCUAAACCAUUCAGAACUUUAGAAACAAUGGGCAGAUUUUUAAAUGUAAUCUUUUAUAGACAGGGAGCAAGUGAAAAGGCCUCAGAGCAGGACUGAUGGGUUCCACUUUUCUGGUACUGAUGGGGACUCUUGCAGAAGCGUAUGAUUGAGUUUUUAAGGGAGACCUGUAAAAACUGUGUCAUGGACAAGCCGACAAAUGUGUAAACCCGGUUCUGCUUGGACAUAAGUCCUUUUUUUCUAGAAAUAUUCUUUAGGUGGAAGAAGGUUGACUUUGUAAUCAUCUUGUGUGUUUUUUUUUUAAAUUCAGGACUGGGUCCAUCACCACAUCCAGCGUUCUGGCUUGAUCAGUUGUUGUUAACUGUGACCUAUGAAGCUGUUGACAUUGUUGUAUAUAACUGUGUGUCGUCUGCGUAGCUAUGGUAACAGAAUUUGUAGUUUUCUAUGAUCAGAGCCAGUGGGAACUUGUAGUUGUUAAACAAAAGAGGCCCUAGUUUGGAGCCUUGGGGAACUCCAUGAGUAAUUCUUAUGUGCUCAGAUUUUAAGUUACCUUCAGACACAAAACAGCAUCUGUCCUCUAAGUAAAAUUUAAAUAAGCUGAGUCCUGUGCCAGAAAGUUUCACCCAGUCCUCCAGUUAGUCUAGAGGUAUACUGUGGUCACCUGUGUCAAAAGCAGCAGCUGUAAUCAUGCAUUAGUGUCUUAUCCAGAUGGUUUUAAUUUGUGUUUUUCUUUAAACUCUUAAUGUUUUAUCAUUUAAAUCAAUUUUUGACUAGAAAAAAUAACCUGAUUGUUCAAAAAGGGGCCGGUCAGAGGUCACGGCUUUGACACAGUAGAAGUAAAAACAUGGCAGUGCUCUGAGUGGAGGACAAAGAGCAGAAAUGUCAGAUGUCCAUUUAAAGCUCCCAGAGCUUUCCUUGCCGUUAGCAAAUAUUUCAAAGUGCUCCAACGCAGAGUCUUUAAAUUUUCAUCAGCACCUCCGGAGCUCACACACACACACACACACACACACACACACACACACACACACACACACACACACACACACACACACACACUGUGCACCCCUCCCCCCGUGAGAGCAGCAUGAAUAAUUGAGAGGGAGCUGAGGUCGAGCUCUGAUGGAGGAAACACAGCAGCUUCAGACUGAAUCACAUCACACACACACAUACACACACACACACACACACACACACUCACAGCUCACAUGUUGACUUGCCUCACCUCCACCUGCACGCCCUCCAAACACGGUCACACUGUCAGAGUUGGCAAGGGAGAAGCUAAGCUACAGGCUUAGAUGUUUAGAAAAUGUUUAUAAAUUGAUAGUUUGAUGUGAGGGAGGGUAUGAACAGUGAGGAGGACAUAUGGGGCGGUCUGCGACAGGUGAGUUUCUCCAGACUAAUGGACUGAGCCUGACACUCUGGUUUAGUUAUUUUGGUUUUAGUUGAAGUUUUUUUCUAAGUGUAUUUAAUGUGAGAUGUUGUAUUUUCUGCAGUAGAUGGUGGAUGUGACUCAGACCGAAGGAUGGAUCUGCUUCAUCAGGUCCGAGUUCAUCUGUCUGCCAGAAAAUAAAAAUUCAGUCUUUAAAUCGCUGGUUUUCUGAACGAGGUUUGGUCUGCAGCAGCUCUUGGACUCACCUCACACUCACCUGGACCACACACAGGAGGUGUGUGUGGGCGUGGGUGUUAUUUUUUCAGCUUAGAGGUUAGAGCUAAACCUCUCCUUCCUCUUUCUCUCACUCCUCCUCUUCCUAGCUUUCCCUCAGCCUCCAUCACAGCAUGUGUGGCAGGUGCUGAUUGGUCGACUCAGAGCAGCUGCUGACUCAGCAGCUUCCAGCCAAGAGUCCCCAAGGAUCCAAACACUGCUGCACCGCUGCACCUCACUUUACCUUCAUCCUCUUCAUCUUCAUCAGCUGCAGAGUGCAGUGCUUCUACUGCAGCUGAAACACACACAGAGCUCAGCCUGUUUCGACUUGUGAAACUGGGAACAAUGGGACAGCUCUGAAUGCUGAUUAGAGAAAACACAGACUGACCAAUUACAGCAGAGUAGGAAGUGACAUCAUUCAGGUGUGUCAGAAACAGGGGAAAAAAACAAAGAGAAGGUGACUGUCAGUUGGCCCGCUGUUCUGACUGAACAGACAGUGUAGAGAUUAUGCAGCAGACUGUACUGACAGUAUAAAAGUAUUGCAGUAGACUGACAGUUUAGAGACGGUUUAUCUUGCAGAGUGUCCUUGUCUUUCUGCAGAGGACGCUGCACAUUACACAGCAGACAAACAGAUUAAGUGACAGCAGCAGACACUCAUUGAAGUUUAAGUGUUGUCCUUCAGCUGGCUGACAGGAUGACAGCUGUUAGCGAGGGUCGAGGUCAGGUCGAGGUCAAACUUUGUUUAACUGCAGCUUCAUACUGGUGCUGUUACAGGUGUAUAAAGAAUGCGGUUGAAGGGUAAUGUCAGAGGGUGUCAUGUGACAGUGACAUUAUCAGUUGUGAUCAUAGUCACGAUUACCAGCAGCAGAGUCACAACAUAGAGCUGUUCCUUUAAAUCUUCUGAAUCCUGUGGUUUAAUGCACUCACGAAGAGUUGGUUCCCGGCCUUGCGAUCAGUUUGAUUGAUCCCUGAUGGAUUUAAAAGAUCACUGAGUUGUCAAUCAUCUCCGACUGACAGUUUGUGUUUGUAAAUAUUUAAUGAUCCUCUGUCAGGAUUCAGUCUUUUUCUCCUCUGAGUCUGAUAUGAGCUGAAUCUUAAUCACGUUUCCUCCAUCAGAGUUUCAGUGGAGUUUCAUCAGAUGGAGGAUUUAAAGGAACAGUCCACUGUUCUUAACACAGUCACAUUUUACCCUCCAACUCAAAAAGAGGAAGAAGAACAGUGGAGCUAAAGGUGGUUUCUGCUUCACGUCAUUUAGACCGGCAUCCUUUCAGAAUAAGAGCCCAAUAGAGUGACAUUUGAACACAGGCACAGUAUGAGGAAGUCAGAGCGGAACUUUAGGGACAUGUUUAGUCAGACUGUUAGAGACAUUAAUUGUUUCUGACAGUCUGAUAAACAAAGUAGCACAUGAAUGAAAAUGAAAAGACUCUGAUGCGACCCCCCUGAGUGCCGUACAGAUUCACCUCCAACAGAUCACGCAAAGGUUCUCUAAAGAGCUUGGUCUGAACCUUUUUUUUUUUUAAAGAUAGAUUUGUGGAUCUGUUAGAGGAUCUGCAGAUGUCUGAUUGUGCAUGAAGGGAGGCCUGCCAGUAAGGAGUUGCAGUAGUCAAUGGGUUUUAUUAUUAAGUCUUUUUUUAUGUUUAUGUUCAUUCCAGAAGAGGUUGGCAACAUGGGAGAAGAGUGGUCCAUGUCCCGAGCCUCCAAGCUGUCUCUGCCUGUCACGGUGUCAUUCUGGUGAGCUGCUGGUGAACACUGGAGGUGGGAAAAGUCAUCAGGUUAAAUAUGGAGGCUUUUGGGGGCUUGGUUUGUUCAGGAGUCGUCUGAAAGGGAAGCAGAGUUUGGAGAUCUAGGGAAACCUCGUGUUAAGACUUGGUAGAAGUCUCUAAGGUGGUCCAGAAGCUCCUCAGCAGGACGAUUCACCCUGAGGUUGUCUGACACACAUCUUAGAUUUUAGGUGUAACUGAAAAGAGAUGGUGGAGUCCAGGGGUGCUGACUGUGUAUGGACAGUGGCAUGGAGAAGCCAGCCAUGUCUUCAUCCAAAGUUCUAUUUCUUUUUCUUCUUUGUUUUAUAAUUUAUUUUAAUAGAAAUGCUCAAAUGUACAACAGAACAUGUUGAAGCAAACAGUUGGUCACCUAUACAUUCAUUUUGCUAUUGCACUAAAUUGAAUGAAACUUAUUUAACCAGAAAAACCUCACUGAGAUUAAAAAUCUAAUUUGCAAGAGUGUCCUGGCCCAGACAGGCAGCAGUACAUUUACAAAGUUACAGACAUAAAACAAUAACAGACAGAUACAGGCAUAACAACUAGCUGAGUCAAAGGUGCAGAGCAUUUUCAGUCAAAGCACUUACAGCCUGCUUCAUCUUCCUCUGGGGCCUUUAAUCUACAUUUAAAAAAAUUCAAAGAGGCCAGCUCUCCGAGACACAGUUUUCUUGUAGCAGAUUCCAGUUUGCAGGAGCAGCAUAUCUGAAACUUCUUUUAUCCAUUUCAAGACAAACUGUGGGGACAGAUAGCAAAAGUAUAAAGCAAUAGCAAAAGGCUGUAGCUUCCAGGACUUUUUACAUGAGUACAGUUACUCAAGUAUGGUGAAAUUAGGCCAAGUAUAGCCUUAUAAAUCAGGAUGUGCCAAUGGUUCAGUCUACGCAUAGUUACAGAAGGCCACUCAACUUGCGCAUACAGGGUACAAUGUUAAAGCCUUGAGGUUUGUUAUGAACCUUUGAGCUCUAUGAUAAACAGUAUCCAAAGAUUUAAGGCUUUGAGAAGAUGCAUGCAUAUAUAAAACAUCACCAUAGUCAAUCAGAGGCAUGAAAAGUAGCAGCAACAAGACGCUUUUUUGCAGCAAAAGAAAAACAAGACUUAUUUCUAAAGUAAAAGCCCAGCUGCAGCCUAAGCUUCUUUACAAGCUGCUCAAUAUGAAGCUUAAAAGACAGAGAAUCAUCAAUCACAAACCCAAGGUAUUUAUAGAAAGGUGACCUCUGUUUUGAAUUCGUGAACAUCAUCACCUUUGUGAUUUCAGAAUUCAAAACCAACUUCAGGUCCCUCAGAUUUUCUUGCACAGUGUUAAAGGCUUCCUGCAGAAGACAAAAGGCUUGAUUCUGUGAUUGAUUGAUUGAUUGAUUAAGACAAAAUUUGAAAGUAGUUUCACUUAAAGUGGGGAGCAAACACCGUUCAACCGGGAGGGUUCAUUUAUGCGACCAUCUACAUUAGUCUCUCCAAGUCUUAAAGUUCUGUUUCACAAAGGCAGCGGACCAAUCACUGUGGUGACUGGUUUUAUUUUGGGAUACAGCUGCCAAUCAUCAGCAUGGCACUGAGAGUUGAGUCCAUGAUGUUUUGACAAGAUGGCAGCAUGAGAACAGUAAAGAGAAGGACUGAGCCCAGAGCCUUGAGGCACACCUUGCAGAUCUGAAGUUACCACUUGUGACAAACUGUUUCCUGUUGGAGAGGCAGGAUCGGAACAAGAAGAGAUAAGGUUCUCCUUUAUUAGUCCCACAAGGGGAAAAUCCCAAAGGAAGGAAAGAAAUGAGCUGUACCAGGUACCAAGGUGGUGGGUUGAGGAGGAUGGUAUAAGAGAGGUACACCAGGGUCAAUCUAUUCUGCCUGCUGACUGUAAUCCAGCUUGGUAUGAGUGGGUGAGAACAGAUAAAACUUUUUCAACCCAACAUGACAGUUUGGAGGAAAUUAUGAUGACAGCUAUGAUCUAACAACCAGUGCUGGAGUUUUACCGAGAACAGGAGGCACAGUGUAGACCUGCUCAAUGAAGACGUCCAGAGAUAACCUCACUUGUGAUCCAGUACUGUUCUGGUAAUCCUCUGUAUUGGAGGUGGUCUGGCUCCUCCCGUUCCUCUGUUUCAACAUCUGAAGGUUUUCUUGGCCCAUAGGUCUUCAGGGAUGCAGAGUCCCAACACAGAGAGUCUGAAAUCUCCAUCAGUCUGCUGCUCACGUCCCUGCUCUGCUAUCUUUAGCUCAUGCUCACACUCUACAGAAGAUCCCCUUUAUUAGCAUUAGCAGCACCUGGUUGGAGAAUAGAUUAUUCAGCAGCCGCUUGAUUGGACGCAUUAAUAUUACAUCAUAGUUUCCAGGCUUGGAUAGAUGGAUGGAUGGAUGGAUGGAUAGAUAGAUAGAUAGAUAGAUAGAUAGAUAGAUAGAUAGAUAGAUAGAUAGAUAGAUAGAUAGAUUGAUUGAUUGAUUUACUUGUAUGAAGCCCGAGCUCCUUAAACCCAUGAUCUUAGACCUCGUUAGUGCAAGCUGUUCCCUGUCAGCUGUUACCCAGAAGCCCUUGCUCCUGCUGCAGUACGUUACAUACAGCACACUCAGAUUAUCAUUCAGUCCUGGUGCAGCUCUGGUCUGUAUGGUGUGAAUCGGUUUCUUUAAUGUCAGAUGAUCUGAUGCUUCAAUGCCUUCUCCCCCCUUCUCCCCCAGCUCUCUGUAUGCAAUGUUUCAUCUUCUAUAAGCCUGAGUAACUGUGACUGGUCCCAGUGCAAAUAACCAUCAGAUACACUCAGCUCAAUUUGUCUGCAGGCUGACUCUGAGAGCAUCAGGAGCAUUAAUCUGUGUUAGAGGAGCCGUACCUAGAUGGAGGUUACAUACACACACAUGCACACCCCCGAUAGGAUUGAGGUCAGACAUGGCGGCUGCCACUCGAUCGGCUCGAUAGAGGCCCAGAUGUCUUGGUUGGUUGUAUUCUACCUCUCUCUCAUCUCUGAAACCAUACUACAGCAACACAUGAAGGAUGUAAAGGUGCCAAAAUACACUAAAACCAUGACAACAAGCCCAUAAUACAACAUUUAUUGUGAUAUUAAAAUAAAGAUACAUGCAGAUGAGGAUAAAAUGACCCCCAGUGGAGAUGGAUAUGCUUGCCGUUUGUUCGCUGUGUAACUGUGUCUCUUUAUAGAGCUCAUUCUAGGAAUUUGGUCAAAGUUAGAAAUAGUACAAAACCAGCCAAAAGGACAUUCGUCAUGUUUCCAUGUUGUUAAAAAAAUCAACUCUUUGUCUUCGUCUGACUGAAACUGGACUUCAAAAACGUGGAAAAAAAACGUGAACAAGUUAGUCGGACUAAAACUGCAAACUUCUCCAAGUCCGACUAACAUGUCUGGAUAAUGCAUCUGGGGAUCAAUUUUCUCUGUCAUGUUCACAGCUCAACUGAAUCUGGCCUAAGCCUUCUGUUUAUGUCCCAGUGUUCUCAUACCAGACUUUGAGCCAGGAGUUGAAUAGUAAAAAUGUGUUUAGUAAACAAAACCUCAGAAGGGAGAGAAAGGACAAAAGGGUAAAAGGUGAAACUUUCCUAUCGUUCAAACAAACUGUUCAGAUGGAGCUACAAAUGACGGUGCUGGAGGAGUGAGGAGAACCCUCAUUCCUGGUGUGGACCAGCUCUUAGUUGUGCUGCUUUAGGUCAAGUCUGUCGUGGGUACUGGCAGAUUGAGCACCUUUCCCUUCUUCUCCAUCCUCUUUCCGUCUGUGUCAUGAACUAUCAAUCAUUGUGUCCCAUUAGAGUCACUAAUACACAGUCUUCUAGCCUGUACGCUUGUUAUGUUAUCUCUGACACUGUAAACAAACUGAAUCUCCUAAAUGAACAUCAUGCUGUAUCAGAGAAGACUGUAAACUAGAGACUGAGACCAAAAAUCAUGUGGAAAAUGUUUACUAAGGGAAUAAAUCAGCUAAGAAGGAAGACAAUUUCUCACUGACUGAUUUUACACCCAGAGGUGUCACCCCCUGCUGGAUGUUAGACAGACCACAGGUUUAAGAGAGGCUUUACACCUAGUUUUAAUCAAACUUCUCUGUGUAAAUGUUUGUGUGCUGCAGAGGAAGGUUGUAGAUCUGUGGAGGAGGAUUCCUGCAAGACACACACACACACACACACACACACACACACACACACACACACACACACACACACACACACACACACACUCACUGUGCUAAACUGCUGCAUUGUUGAACAAACAUCUGAACUCUGAUCAUAAUGAGAGCAUUCAGUGUGAGGUAGCCACUUUCUGUCCAUCCUUAGCUGCGCCUGUCACCAUGGCAACACCCACGCUGUUCUUCUCUCCCCCAACAUCAAGAUCUGGGCUCGUUAGGGCAGCGUACUGAGAACUGGGGGUGUUGUUGGUGAGCGUUAACGAGCGCUCUAGCGGAGGCUGCUCAGCUGCUCACCAUCAUUAACUCAGAGAUAACACAGACAGUGACCCACCGCCUACUUGACGGUCAGAAGUAAAGCCCCACCCCCUGCUGUUCUUCUACAAAUUGCUGACCCCCUCCAGAGUGUUUUGGGAUGACUGCAGUCUGACCUCCUGCCGACAGAUAAUGAGUUAAACUGUUUUAAGCUCCUGAAACAACACACCGACUCUGAGCAUAUCAUGAUUUCAAUAACCAUAGUCAAAGGUUAUAGCUGCACCCCCACCCCCCAACCCACCGUAGGUCAUCUGACCGUGGGUUUACACCUGAGGACAAGUAGAAAGUGAUGCAGCAGACACAGACAAGGACAGUAACUGUUGUAAAGUCACAUGACCAGCCUCUGUAGCCUGAGACACUCAGACUGCUAUAGGUUUGGAUAGUGAAAAGCUCAGACACUUAUAGACUCAGACUGUUAUAAAAUCAGACUGUUAUAGACUGAGACCGUUGUAAACUCAGACUGUUGUAAACUCAGACAGUUACAGACUAAGACUGUUGUUAACCCAGACUGCUACAGUCUCAGAAUGUUAUAGACUCAGACUGUUGUAAACUCAGACUGUUAUAGACUGAGACCGUUGUAAACUCAGACUGUUGUAAACUCAGACUGUUAUAGACUGAGACCGUUGUAAACUCAGACACUUAUAGACUCAGACAGUUACAGACUUAGACUGUUGUAACCUCAGACUGUUGUAAACUCAGACUGUUACAGACUUAGACUGUUGUAAACUCAGACUGUUAUAGACUAAGACUGUUGUAAACUCAGACUGUUAUGGACUCAGACUGUAGUAAACUCAGACUGUUAUAGACUCAGACUGUUGUAAACUCAGACUGUUAUGGACUCAGACUGUUGUAAACUCAGACUGUUGUAAACUCAGACACUUAUAGACUCAGACUGUUAUAAACUCAGACUGUUAUAGACUGAGACCGUUGUAAACUCAGACUGUUGUAAACUCAGACUGUUAUAGACUCAGACUGUUAUAGACUAAGACUGUUGUAAACUCAGACUGUUAUGGACUAAGACUGUUGUAAACUCAGACUGUUAUGGACUCAGACUGUUAUGGACUCAGACUGUUGUAAACUCAGACUGUUGUAAACUCAGACUGUUAUAGACUGAGACCGUUGUAAACUCAGACUGUUAUAGACUCAGACAGUUACAGACUUAGACCGUUGUAACCUCAGACUGUUACAGACUUAGACUGUUGUAAACUCAGACUGUUAUAGACCGAGACCGUUGUAACCUCAGACUGUUAUAGACUCAGACUACUAUGGACUCAGACUCCUUUAGAGUUAACGUGUUAUAGACUCAGACUGUUAUAGACUAAGACUGUUUUAGACUCAGGCUGCUGUAAUCCAGACUGUUAUUAGAUAUUGCUUUAGACUCAGGCUACUCUUAAAGGAAUAGCUUAUCUUAUCUUGUCUUAUAGACUCAGACUGUUAUAGACUUGGACUGUGAAAGACUCAGACUCUCAUACUCACAGACUUUAAUAGGUUCGGACUUUUAUAAGCUUAGACUUCUGGUGUGUAGUCCAUGCUGUUUUGGUUUUUCUGAGAUUCUGGUUUUGUCAAGAUUUCUGUCUGUUUCAGGUAGAUUAAUGUAGAUUUAGGGCAUAAAGGUAACAUCUGUUAUCAUAGGAUGCUGUAUUAAUGAAAGUUGAUUGAAUUACUCUGGUUUUCUUUGUGUAUUUAAGCAUGUUAGCUGUGAAUGUUUUCAUUUGCUGAGUGGUGCAUUUUUGUGUGUGUGUUUCUUGGUGUGUUUUCAGCUGGACAUUAUGCUCACAGCUCACAUUCUCUCUGUUUGUUCUGAUGAUCAUGCACACACACUGACAGACUGAAUGUAAACACUGAGCACCUGUUCAGCAGGUAAAGUCUCAGCAUGCAGACUGAGUCCAGGUGUUUCUCUGAGUCUGUGCAGAGAGGAGAACAAAGACUGUGCAGAUCUUUGCUGCAGGCCUCAUUAAAGCUGCUCCGACCUCCAGCUGAUCGGAAUAACAACAACGCGGGCUCUUUAUAUAACGCCUCAUUAAAAACAAAGACUUUUUAAAGGCUGACGGUGGAGGGGAGGUCUUACUCUGCUGCUGAAACAAAUCUGUUCAUACAUAUUUCAGUCAGUCAAGAAAAUACUCAUUUUCUCUGAGAAACUACAACUGAAAAUAAUUUUAUAAAUCAGUAUUUGUCCCUCAUAGCAAGACUUUAUUUCAAUGUAAUCAAACAUUAUAAAUCAAACAUUUAUUUAAAUAAGCACAGGAAAGAAGAGAGGGCAGGAAGGAUUCACACUCAACUAAAAAGCUCACCCAAAAUGAAUAUAAAAACAACUUACUGAUGUUUUAAUUUUUACAAAGUCAGACUGUAAUUCUCUGCAGAGAUCUGACUUUGACCACAGCCACUCGUUUAUUAUUCACUGAUCGACUCCGUCUAUUUAUAUCAUCCUGCAGGGCGAGGUGGCCGCUGAGUCAGCACCGAUCAAUACUGUCAGUGACCAACUUCAAGUCCACCUUAAAACAAAGAGCACCUGUAAGUGACCAGCUUUACCUGCAGUCUAACAUUGUUCAAAGAAAGAAUUAUUACUGUGAAUGAGCAGCUUCAGCUCCAGUCCACCUUAAAAAAAAAAAGAUGUCUGUGUAGGUUCUCAUUCAUCUGGGUCAUGGUUUUCCAAUUUUUCACUGAAAGGGCACCUGGACUUUGAAAAAGAGAGCACCUGUCAUUGGAUUGCUUCAACUCCAGUCCAUCCUAAAAUAGCACAAAUCAAUGCUGUCACUGACCAGCUUCACCUGCAGUCCACCCUAAAAUAGGCCAAAUCUAUUCUUUAACUGACCAGGUACACUUCAGACCACCUUGAAAUAACA
Non-coding RNA from Xyrichtys novacula (pearly razorfish), 11274 nucleotides. The record is from the annotation of a GenBank genome assembly. NCBI's taxonomy places the organism in Eukaryota, Metazoa, Chordata, Actinopteri, Labriformes, Labridae.